Molecule: transfer RNA, 76 nt
Filed under: Chromatiales bacterium
Lineage: Bacteria; Pseudomonadati; Pseudomonadota; Gammaproteobacteria; Chromatiales
Description: tRNA-Thr
Rfam family: tRNA
About the family: Transfer RNA (tRNA) molecules are approximately 80 nucleotides in length.
Source: RNAcentral
GCUGGCGUAGCUCAGUCGGUAGAGCACUUCACUCGUAAUGAAGGGGUCGGAGGUUCGAUUCCUCUUUCCGGCACCA